Molecule: ribosomal RNA, 264 nt
Filed under: uncultured bacterium
Lineage: Bacteria
Description: partial 16S ribosomal RNA
Rfam family: Bacterial small subunit ribosomal RNA
Source: RNAcentral
GUCCACGCCCUAAACGAUGUCAACUAGUUGUCGGGGAAGUUAUUCCUUGGUAACGAAGCUAACGCGUGAAGUUGACCGCCUGGGGAGUACGGCCGCAAGGUUAAAACUCAAAGGAAUUGACGGGGACCCGCACAAGCGGUGGAUUAUGUGGAUUAAUUCGAUGCAACGCGAAAAACCUUACCUACCCUUGACAUGUCAGGAACCUCGCAGAGAUGUGAGGGUGCCCGAAAGGGAACCUGAACACAGGUGCUGCAUGGCUGUCGU